RNAcentral lists this long non-coding RNA (2371 nucleotides) under Salvia miltiorrhiza (redroot sage). RNAcentral describes it as "long non-coding RNA (SMIL_LNC001681)". Lineage: Eukaryota; Viridiplantae; Streptophyta; Magnoliopsida; Lamiales; Lamiaceae. The record is from RNAcentral.
AAAACUCCCGUCAAAGUGGAGUUACUUACUUCCUUGCUCUGCUCGUGUCUUCAGGGAUCAUCGUCAUCAUCGAAGGUUCAUGUCAUAAAAUGAAUCCCGAUUAGAAACUCAACGACAAAAACUCAUGCCUCAACUCAUGCUCUAUAUUAUAUUCUAUCUCCUUAACCAACUCUACAUAAACUCUUCACUCAUUUCAAAUCCUUAAGUCCAAGGAUAGGUUUCAAGAAAAUCAUGGUUCUAAGUCUCGGUUCAUCUCUCAUAUAAGACUCGUCUAAUCUCAUUCAAACACUUAGGCAACACAAUCACAUAAGGCACAUAAGAAAAUACCAUCAAACAUCAUCAAGACAUGUUCUGUUUUUACACAGACUCGACUUCAAACUUUAACACGUUCUGACUCCGACAUCCCCUGGACUCCAGACUCAUACCAAAAGAAAGGUAUUUGAGUCUAGUUUCAUUUAAAAAAAAGUAGAGUCAGAAACUCCAAGUGGUUUGGGAGAUAUGGCGUUUUGACCACGGUCUACCAUAUUCGGCAGUUUUGAGCAAUCGAAAAUUUUGAUUUUUCAAAAAUAGUAAACGUUGUCAAACUGCGCUCAAAUUUGGUGGAUAUCUAGCCCAUACAGUGAGGUUGAUACCAUAAAAAUUUGGAAAUCUAAUUCACACAGGAAGUCACUGAAAUGAAUGACUUUGUCCCCUGUUCUCUGAAAUUCCCGGCAGAAAUGUGCAGAUUUGGUUUUGCAUUUUAUAAAAAUAGUAAAUCAAGUCCAAAUGACUUGAAAUUUUACAGAGGUGCUCAAGACUCAUGUAGGGACAUUCUGUAAAAUUUUCAAAGCUUUUUGACAUCGACAAACCGUCGAUCACAGUAGGUCAGUAGCCUACGAAAAAUCACCAAAAAUUCAUUCCCAACUCUUAAAUGCUCAAAUUAACAUUCCUACAAAGCAACCACAUCAAAACUCAUUUUAAGCACUUAAAGCACUUAAAAACAUUCAAAUACAUCAAAAUACUCAUAAUACUCAAUCUUGACUCUUUUCUUUCAUCAUCCACUCAAAUCUCAAGGAAAACGUUUCUACAACGUAUCAAUCAAAUUCUCUUUUCAAUCUCAUGCUCAAAAUUUCUCAAUCAUUCAUUAUUGACCUCAUACAUCAUGUAACUCAUUUUACACAUAUAUUUCCCUUUUUAUCAUGUAAACUAACUCUAGUGAAAAACUCAUAUAUCAUCAUAAAAUUCUCAACAAAAGCAUGACAACUUCACAAAAUGAUCAUAAAUCAAUUUGACCUCAUUUUAUCAUUCGUUAACCCCACAUCAUAUGAGAACUCAAAAACUCCUUCAAACUAAACUAAGUCCAAAUUUUAAUUAGCUUACAUUAGACUUAAUCAAACAUAUUAAAACACUACUAUCAUGCUCAAUUACACAUAUCUUAAGCUAAAUCACUUAAUAGACACAUAGACAAGAAAGUCCUAAUUUUUAUUAAACUAACUCUUUGAAAUUUUUACAAAUACAUACAAAUCUCUAAUCCAUUCAUAGAUCUUUCAUUUUUAGCCAAUUAAUCUCACAUCAAAACCAUCAAUUCACAAAUAAGGGCAUAUAUACACAUAUCCCUAAUUUUUAAUAAACUAACCCACAUCAAAAACUCCAAUUGACAUCAUAUACUUAAAUUAAUCCAUCAAUCAUCAUCAUCUACACCUCAUAGACUCGUUUAUAUCAUCAAUUCAUCAUUUAACUCAUUAACUCAAAAGUUACCAUUUUUGGGGUAAACUAACUUCCAUCAAAGUUUCACAUCUCAUGACACAUAUUUCACAACAUAUAUCAAACAUCAAUACACAUCACAUAACUCUCAUUUUUCACCCCCAACCAAGAAAAGAAAAAGAAAAAUUUUGAAAGGGGUGAAGACCCAUUUUUCGAAAAUUUGGGAAAGAAAAGGGAGGGGUGAUUUUCUUGCUUCAAUCCUUCAAAUAUACUCAUAUACAAACUCAUACAAAUUAUAUCUAUGAAUAUGGAGAUCACUUACCCAAGUUUUCACCAAUUAUCCAAAUUUUCUCUCACUAUUCUUGAAACCAAUCUUCAAGGAUUCUCUUGAAUUUAAGUUAAUAGGAUGUGUUUAUGGAGGAUUUAAGUAGUGAUUUAUGUGUUUGGCAUACUUGGGUGAAGCUUCGAAGGUUUCAUCAAUGGCUAACAAUGGUGGAAAGUGAAGUGAGAGAUGAGGGAGAGGGAGAGAGAUCGAAAAUGGGGUGGAGAAGAGAGAGGAAAAUCCUUUGCAAGAUAUAGAAGGAUUUGGCUAAUCUUUGGAAAGAUUUGUGAAUCUUAGAGAAUAUUUGGCAUUAAUGCCUCUUCUCACUCUAAUCUCUUCUUUCUCUCUCAAAUCUCUACACUUUCC